Molecule: ribosomal RNA, 507 nt
Filed under: uncultured bacterium
Lineage: Bacteria
Description: bacterial SSU rRNA
Rfam family: Bacterial small subunit ribosomal RNA
Source: RNAcentral
GAGUUUGAUCCUGGCUCAGGACGAACGCUGGCGGCGCGCCUAACACAUGCAAGUCGAACGAGCGAGAGAGAGCUUGCUUUCUCGAGCGAGUGGCGAACGGGUGAGUAACGCGUGAGGAACCUGCCUCAAAGAGGGGGACAACAGUUGGAAACGACUGCUAAUACCGCAUAAGCCCACGACCCGGCAUCGGGAAGAGGGAAAAGGAGCAAUCCGCUUUGAGAUGGCCUCGCGUCCGAUUAGCUAGUUGGUGAGGUAACGGCCCACCAAGCCGACGAUGGGUAGCCGAGCUGAGAGGCUGAUCGGCCACACUGGAACUGAGACACGGUCCAGACUCCUACGGGAGGCAGCAGUGGGGAAUAUUGGGCAAUGGGCGCAAGCCUGACCCAGCAACGCCGCGUGAGGGAAGAAGGUUUUCGGAUUGUAAACCUCUGUCGCAGGGGACGAAGGAAGUGACGGUACCCUGUAAGAAAGCCCCGGCUAACUACGUGCCAGCCGCCGCGGUAAUAC